UACGUAGGUGGCAAGCGUUGUUCGGAAUUAUUGGGCGUAAAGGGCGCGUAGGCGGCCUGCUAAGUCGAACGUGAAAUCCCCGGGCUCAACCCGGGAACUGCGUCCGAUACUGGUGGGCUUGAAUCCGGGAGAGGGAUGUGGAAUUCCAGGUGUAGCGGUGAAAUGCGUAGAUAUCUGGAGGAACACCGGUGGCGAAGGCGGCAUCCUGGACCGGUAUUGACGCUGAGGCGCGAAAGCUAGGGGAGCAAACGGG
Molecule: ribosomal RNA, 253 nt
Filed under: uncultured bacterium
Lineage: Bacteria
Description: partial 16S ribosomal RNA
Rfam family: Bacterial small subunit ribosomal RNA
Source: RNAcentral